RNAcentral lists this ribosomal RNA (253 nucleotides) under uncultured bacterium. RNAcentral describes it as "partial 16S ribosomal RNA". It matches the Rfam family "Bacterial small subunit ribosomal RNA", at positions 524 to 776 of the family's 1533-position model. The record is from RNAcentral.
UACAGAGGCCCCAAGCGUUACUGAGAAUCACUGGGUUUAAAGGGUGCGUAGGUGGCGCGUUAAGUCCGUUGUGAAAUCCCUUGGCUCAACCAAGGAAUGGCUUCGGAUACUGGCGUGCUUGAGGUUGGUAUGGGUCACUGGAACUGACGGUGGAGCGGUGAAAUGCGUAGAGAUCGGGAGGAACACCCGUGGCGAAGGCGGCCAUCUGGACCAGCACUGACGCUGAGGCGCGAAAGCCAGGGGAGCAAACGGG